This 72-nucleotide long non-coding RNA is filed under the name Parus major (Great Tit). RNAcentral's name for it is "lncRNA (ENSPMJG00000012225.1)". The record is from RNAcentral. Lineage: Eukaryota; Metazoa; Chordata; Aves; Passeriformes; Paridae.
CCAGUCCUAUUCCCAGAGGUAGCUUCUCCAAGGUGGCUCCUGACAUAGGAAAUGGUAACUGCUACAGGUAAA